AAAAAACAAGAUUUUAUGCAUCGAGGAAAGAUUAAUGUAACACGAUUUUGUAGAAAAAUAUAAAAAUAAAUUAAGGCUUAUGGCAUGAUAAUAAAAUGAUGACACGUGUGAAUGAAACAAUAAUAUAACGAAAAUAAUGAAUAAACAGUGGCAUUAAUUAAUUAAAUGAAAUAAUAAUAAUACUGAUAAAAAAAACAAAAAUAACAACAACAACAAC
Molecule: long non-coding RNA, 217 nt
Filed under: Gossypium raimondii (Peruvian cotton)
Lineage: Eukaryota; Viridiplantae; Streptophyta; Magnoliopsida; Malvales; Malvaceae
Description: long non-coding RNA (GRAI_LNC007400)
Source: RNAcentral